AGAUAAACAAAACAAACCAAGAGACAGACGCGUGGACUCCAUUGAGAUGGCUUUCUUGUUACCGAGAUAGAAGCACAUACACGAGUCAAACACGAUUUCCUACUUUUCCAUAGGGAUUUCAAUGAGACCCCGGAAAUGAACAGAAACCCAAGCCAGGCCUGAACACCAGACCCUGGCUGCCAGACCUAAGCGAGACUCAGGUUUAGACCCAGAACCGGACUCCUUCAAGGCCAUAAGAGGCCACACCCAGGACCGGACAAAAUUCAAGAGAGGUCUAGACACGAACCAGACCCAGGCAACUUCAGACACCUGUAUCCAUCCUCUGAGCUCAGUUGUCCUCUGAGUUGUCCUCUGGUGGUCCACGUUCAACACACGGCUGGACUCUAGAGGUGGCUGAGAGGUUCCAACACAGGAACACAGAGUGCUGCUCUGUAAUGCCUCAGCCCAGCAUCAUUGGGAUGGAGCCUCCCUUUGGGGACGCGUUUCAGAACUACACGUUUGCUGACCAGGUGCUGACCAGCACUGAGCUGCUGGCCAACAGCUCCGAUCCUGAUUUCAUGUAUGAACUGGACAAGGACAUGCCUGCAUGCCAGAGCCCCAGGGAGGAGGCCUUCUCUAUGGGGGAGGGUAAGGAGGUGGAGGUUGGGGGUCUGACCGACCUGGGGGAGGCAGAGCCUGCCUACAGCGCCACCUUCGAACAGUGGGACACUUACUGGGAGGACCUUACAAGGUACACCCGACUCACCAGCUGUGAUAUCUGGGGCACCAAGGAGGUGGACUUCCUCGGCCUGGACGACUUCUCCAGCCCCUACCAGGAUGAGGAGGUGAUCGGGCGCACCCCCACCUUGGCCCAGCUCAACGGAGAGGACUCACAGCCCGUGUGUGACACCCUUUACCACCCUGAGCUGCCCCUGCACCCCUCCCUUAGCAAGAAGACCCCUGGCCCCACACGCCAUGACCCCAUCCCUGGCCCCACUCUGGCCCCCUCCUUUGCCCCCCCUGCCCGCAGCCCUCUCCCAGACUUCCCUGACGGCUUCCAGAAGGCCACCUGUCCAGUUCCUUCCAGCACGGAGACCCGCUCCAAGGCCCAGAUCCAGGGCUCCAGCACAAAGAUGUUCCCCCUGGCCCUGAACAGCUCUGACUUCGUCCGCAAGGCCAAGGUGCGCAUCAGUACGCUCCGUGGUCCCCAUGCUGAGGCACCCCCCAUGAAGACGGAGGCCGACGAGGACCCUCCCUUGGGCCCCCCUCCGAUCCUCCAAGACCAGGCCUCCACCUCGGGCAGCCCCGUCCUGGUGGCUGCACCCGGGACUGUGGCCUCCGGCCCAGCUAGCCUGCUGGCUCCACGAAGGGAGAUGCCUGCUGCCUCCCUGGGCAGGUCUGGGGCCGUGCCCCCCCAGCUCAGUUACCCCGGGGCUGGGGGAAGCCAGAGCCUGCAGGGGGGGCAAGGGCAUGAGAGUCUGGAGGGAGAGGCAGCACUAGAGAAAACCAAGGAGGAAGAGCACAACUAUUCUGUCUUCCUCACUCGUGCCAGACUGGCUGGCAAGGCCCUGUCUGAGCUGGAGGAGGAGGAGGAGGAGGAGGAGGAAGAGGAAGAGGAGGAGGAGGAAGAGGAGGGAGAGGAGGGAGAGGAAGAGGAGGCUGAGGCAGAGGAGAUGGAAAUGGAAGAUGAAGACCACGAUGAAGGCUUCGGCAGUGAGCAUGAGCUGUCGGAGAAUGACGAGGAAGAGGAGGAGGAGGAUGAAGACUAUGAGGCUGAUAAAGAUGACGAUAUGAGCGAUGCUUUCUCUGAACCAGGCUGUGACACAGACAUCGUGGAGGACGUGAAGGGACUGACGGCGGGCGUGUCCAGGAAGCGGGGGAAGCGUCGCUACUUCUGGGAGUACAGCGAGCAGCUGACACCCUGCAAGCAGGAGCGGCUGCUCAAGCCCUCCGAGUGGGACAGAGACACCCUGCCCAGCAACAUGUACCAGAGGAACGGUCCUCACCACGGGAAGUACACUCUGAAGAAGUCUCGUCGUACAGACGUGGAGGACCUGACGCCCAACCCCAGGAAGCUGCUGCAGAUCGGCACGGAGCUCAGGAAGCUAAACAAGGUGAUCAGCGACCUGACGCCCGUCAGCGAGCUGCCCCUCACCGCCCGGCCGCGCUCCCGCAAAGAGAAGAACAAGCUGGCGUCCAGGGCGUGCCGUCUGAAGAAGAAGGCCCAGUACGAGGCCAACAAGGUCAAGCUGUGGGGUCUCAGCACCGAGUAUGAUCGCCUGCUGUUCGUUAUCAACGCCAUAAAGGAAGAGAUUGUGACACGGGUCCAUGACUCAUCCCACCACAGCUCCAACAUGGCCGACACCCUGGACAGACUGAUCAAAGAAACUCUAGUGUCAGCACCAGUUGCUGGGCAGACUUCAGAUUUUGUCAACCAGAUCCUGGAGAAUACGGGGAAGGGCGAUCCCACUGGCGGAUUGGUCGGCCUGCGAGUCCCCACCUCCAAGGUUUAGAAGCCCCGCCCACCGAGGGGAGGGGCCUCAGUCACUCAACGCACUGUCCCACACUGUAACAAUGACCCUCUGCAUGCCCCCCCAACCCCCCUCUCAGACCCCCCACCUCCUGCCGAGUGUGGGACACAUGCCGAGGCCCUGUGUGCGUGUAUGUGUGUGUGUGCUCACACUACCCACUUGUAGGGAAACCCAGUAGCUCUCUUAGUAGUGUGUGAGUCAGUCGCCAUGUUGUGCAUGUGGUAAGACGUUCCAAUAGCAACCACAGAUCUUCUCAUAGCUCCUCAUAUCACCAUGAUGUAACACCUUUCUGCAACCAAUCACAAGUGGCGGAGGGGGAAUACUUCCUGGUUUCGCCUUCUCCUUUAGCGGUCCAAGCGUCCAGCUGGAAGGCAUGGCAAGUAGGAGGGCGCAGUCAUGACUCACGAGUGGAAGAAAUCUUUGAUUUCAGCAGGAAGCAAUGUCUGCUAUCUGAAAAGCCUAAAUAUGGUAGGGUCAUAGCCCUCCAAUCAGAAACCUUGUUGUAGAAGCCACCUGAGCAGAAAGACAGAGGCUGACAGACCCUCAGUCAUAAUUGAAUAGUGAUGGGGAACUGGGGGAGGGUGAGGAGAGCACAGACACGAUCAGGAAAGGGGAGCAGUAAGGCAGAGACAAAGAAGAAAGAGAGGAAUUAAUGUCCCCCCACUCCCCCCCUCCAAAAAACAGCUGUGGACAGCUGUGAACACAACGGAAGUGUUCUGUUUAUACUACUUCCUGGAGGACGUGUUCCACACAUGCGCAGUACAUUGCAUAGCGCAUCAUGAAGCGUAGUGGCCAUGCAGGAUGUCAUAGAUUAUUGGAGGUUCACGGAUGUCCAUACAGAGCCUACGCGUGGACUGAUGACGAAAUUGCCGUUGUGCAGACCCUCAUGGACAUGGAAAGUUUAACACCAGUUUCCCACAGACUGUCCCCACGUAAACGUAGAAAAUGCGGCGAGGCUUCAGUCAGCCCAGAAGUGUAGCAGUCUGCCAACGCAGAGAAAAACCUACACUUAAAUGCUGUUGUCUUAUGUUGAGGAAUGUGCGUCAGUUGUGACCAGGUUUGAGGAAGCUGAGUGUGAAGGUUGCUGCGCUGUCCAGUUGACUAAAUAGCUGACCAAGAUAUCUUUGAAUUCUGAUUAAAACAUAGGUGGGAUCUGGCGCAUGAGUGAAACUAGAAUGGUUGAUAUCCAUGAUGUCCAUCAUGACAUCAUCAGACUUUUAUGUUAGCCUUAGGUAGUGGUUGAAACAUUCUUUAACUGUUUCCUGUUUUUAUAGUGUUUCGUUUUGUAUAUAGACUUAUUACGUUGAAAUGUAUCUUCUAAAUGUUAAAUGUAAAGUAUAUAUUCUAUAUUACAUGUAUGAAAAACAGAAAGCACUUUGUUCAACAAAAAAAAGAGGAAAAAAAACAAAAAGAAAAGCAUUUUUCCUUCCAUUUGCUGCUAAUCGGCCUGGUGUGAAUGCUGCAGGAAGUACUUGACUAUUUUAACCUGGCCAACAGUCUCAGCCCAGUCUAUAACCUGGUCUAGACUGUUGGAGCAGUCUAUUACCUGGCUGGCACAGUAUGUGUGUAGUAGGUCGUUAACAGGACAGUGUCGCAGGUCUCAACAAGAUGGUUUUAUUCCAAGGCCCCUUCGUUCAUAUGACUGAUGAUGUCAUGGUUAAUUUGCCUUCAGUAGAGAUUUCCUAUGGAAAGACUUUAAUUCUGCUCUGGCUCCUUUAUUCAGGUUGUUGUACAGUGUAGACACCUCUCUCGUGGCCUUUGCCUGAGGGGGGUUGUUAUUGUUAUAAUUUUUAAAAACUGAUUUGUACUUGUGACUUGUACUGAAAAAAUUGAAAAAUAUAAAAAACAUUGUGGGGGGGGGCGUGGGACUGAGGAGCCAUACCAGGCCUCAGCAGCUAAACUUUUAUCACUGUACUGUAAGACAAGUCAAUUGCAAUGGAAAUUCAAUCCGGACACACUUGCCUUUUCUCUUUCGAUAAAAACGUUCAUUCUUAAAUAAGAUGGCCAUUGGCCGAUUGCUACUGGUGGAAUUCCUAUAGCAACCGGACCAGCCAACCUUUUUUCCUACAUCGUACUGUCAACAACAACAAACUUAAGCCUGAUUGGCUCAAAUUAACAGUGAGCUCUCCACUGGGGGGUCACAAAAGGCAAAUGGGGGUGAAGCGAGGGGACCUGCUGAUAUGGUAGGGAGAGAGUAAGAGGGGGGGGAGGGGAAGGGGGGGGGGAUUGUUGGUAUGAGGCAGAGGCAGGAAAGCGUGUUCUUUCAGAUUUUCACAGUUAACAUGAUGGAUGCGAGCUGUGCAACUUUACAAACCAGAAGACUCUGUGGCAUUUUAGCGGUCCAGGACAGGGUUGAUUAUUCAACGCCAGUAACUAUUCCUUCUUCUCUAUCAACCUAACAACUAGAGUCAGAUAGAUACAAAUCUAGUAGGUUGUGUAAGUUAAGUGUGUGCUACUUUCGUCUGAUAAUCAAAUAAACCUGAAUCCAUAAAGGUGUGCAGUGAAUCAGGGUUAUGACCAUCCUUCUAUGAGAAACGUGUAAUGAAAUAUAUCCAAAAGAAAAUAUAUUUAUGUAUUCCAAUUAAUGAUCGCCAUUUAUUUCAUCAUUAAAUAACAAUAUUAUAUAUGUUUAUGGAGUUGUCUGUGAGAAAAAAAAUUGUGCAAUGCUCUCUACACAAACAGCCAAUAGAUUUAUAAACAGAGCUAUAUUCCUACCGUAGUUUUCUUUAUAUUCUAUAGACAUGGGUGACAUUGUUUUUUAAAUCUUUUUUUAAUUUGUAUUAUUCUUUGAAAGGGACAUUAUGCUUCCUGGCUCUGAAGUUGCCUGUGUUGUAGAAUGCUGCUGCUGCUACUGGGGUUGGCUCAUAGCGACACACAUAGAGACAGACGAAACAUCUGCAUUCUAGAUUCUAUAUCGUCUCCGUGGUGAAACACACUUGACGUUGUCCUAGUUCUGUGUUUCAACCAAGCCACGGUGAACCUGGAGACAAAUUCAAUUGGGCUUGCUGUGAGGCUACCAUUACAGUAUGUAUAGUUGUACUGUGGUGAUCCUUGCUUGUAUACAAACAAUUAAUUUUCUGUCCUGGCUAUCAGCCAAUCACAGCUCUGCAUGUGGCAGCAGCAUGUGCAAGGCAGGGAGGGGGAAACUGCAAGCGUCAACUUUUUAACGGCUACACCCUCGUAUAGUCUAGGCUCUCUGGUGUCCAGCUCUCGACUUCCUGCGGGUCUUCCUGGCCAACAUUCCAUGUUCUACAGGUUCUGCUCCCAUCGUCUUCUAUUCCAAACGGAACAAGGGAAUGUUGGUCAGGGGGGUGUCCCAUUCUAAAAAGCAUUCUGAAGACUUUGGCCCCGCAUUCUCUCCCACACCAUAGCUCCCACACACACACACACACACACACACAAGUAUCAAAUGUUAUCACCCUAUGAAAGCUUAUCACUAACACAGGCUGGAUUAUGUAACACACUCUGGAGGGCUCCUGAUGAAUUGUGUUUCAUGUCAUAGCCCGCCUCACUCUUUCAGACUCGUAUCUGCAGCGGGCUAUGACAAUGCUGCGUCUGCUAUUUUUGAUGUAUAUCUGUGUAGACUGAGAUUCCCACCUGUGCAAGGGGUAUUCCAGUAUUCAUUUCAACCUGAAGGGUGAGGGUCCCAGGCUACCUGUUGUGUCUGUCUGCUAGACAGAGGACAACAGGGUCUGAACGAGCACAAGUUUGAAAGACAAAUAAAGGUUUUGGUGUUCGGUAGGUGCAGGGACUCAACCCUGGUUGGGGGGUCAGAGGCCUCGGUACGACCGAUAAUCAGAGCUUGCGCCACGGCUUUCCUUCUUAUAUCGAUCAUAACAAAACAGCCACCUUGCACUUGGUUUUACACAAGUAAAAAAGAGAAUAAACAAGUCAAACGUUAUUUUUAAUACAAUGCCUGCUAAACCAGGUGCCUUACUGAAACCGAUGAGAAUCCAAACUUGAUCUGCACCCUCUCCUUUUCCAAGUCUGGGUGUUUUGUAUUGAGGACCAGACCUCUCUCCUUCCUUCCCCUCUCUCUGCCCACUAUGCUAAGAGGUUUCAGGACUAUUUGCAGUCCAGGAGUCUAGUGCUGCAAACUGAUGCUGCUUUGUCGUUUUCAUAAGAGAUGAAUGUAGUCUUCCUUCUGAGAGUACAGGCCAGUUCAAGCAGAGCCUUGGGUGUAGAAAUAUAUAUAAUGAAGGAAGCUCUAGAAUGCUCUAGAAUGAGGGGGAACUCAGUAGUCACAGAGGAAGAGAGCCUUUACAAAAAGUGCUUUAGUGAUUCUGAAGAUGUAGUGUUUGAAGUGUAAAGCCUGCUCGGUUGGUGUCCUUAUUCCUCUGAAACUAUUCUUAUUUCAUAAUUUUUUUAUACAUGUUUAUGCUCCAAUGAGUUUGUACGUUGUUGCACAAUUUUGAAUUCUUCAGAGAGGGAAAAAUAUAUAUUUUGCCUUGUGUUUCUAGUCAGUGCCCUUUGGCAAUGCCACUCCUGAUUUACUCUGUCCUUAUCUGUCCAUUUGUAAGAAAUAAAUAUUUAUCAGGUUUGUGUCUAUUAGGCAUGGCCAAUGGAGUAGAAAUACGUUCUGCUCCAACAGAGGCAGAGCUCUCUAGCUAGCUCAGAUUGGUCAAACAAUGGAAUCGCUUAAACUCUCAGAAAAAGUGGAAGGGGGUACAAGCUGGUGCUUUUUCUCAAGUCGUUCCUAAUCAGUCAUUCUGAGAACCCGUCUACAGCUGUCUGACAGGGCUCCUCUCCAGAGCUGCUGCUGUCUGACAUGUUGUCCACAGCCCUGGACCUGCUCAGUUAAGAACGUCCUGCCCGGCCCAACCUACUGUGUCCCUCAGAACCCCGCAAGAUACAUGUGCCUCUCUGUCCCCCAUUGGGGGGGCUAGCAUUACCUGGAGCAGUAUCAUGCACACACACACACGUACUCACAUAAUCAUGCAGACAUGUUCAGAUGGCCUUAUGCUACUGCUCUUCUAUAACUAAACAAAAAAAUCAGUUGACCAAUGAAACAAGACCAGUAGAGGCUGCAUUGUCGAAACCUGGACAUAGAAACAUGAGAGUAAUUGGUUUUAACUGUAUCCAUAGUGCAGGAGGUAUCUCUCCAAACAAAACAGGGCGUGGCAAGGAUAAAAAUCAAGUGAGCCCUCACCCCAAGACUCCUGAAGGUUUCUGUGGCGGGGUGAGGAGCUAAAUUGUGCUCUAGGAGUUGCUAAUGAUGCUCUUGGUGCUAAUGGUUUUUGGUGCUGAAGUCCAAAGCGAGUCAGCCUACUUCCUCCCUGUCGUGAGGGAUGCCCUGUAGAGUGCUCUGUGUUGUCAUCAGGAGCAGAGAGGAAAGAGCAUGCUGGUCCGGCAGGUAGAGAUUGUUCUGAUUUGGAAGGCGUAUCUCCAGCCUCAGGUUUACUUCCUGCUUCUCUGCAAGCUCCAUCCAAGGCUAGACCUUGUUGGCUGCAGGCAGCAAUGUUGAAGUGAGGUCGGUCCAGGGGCUUGUGGUGUAGCUUAAGUGUUGUGACUGGCUACUUCAGAAGAUCUCAGAGGCUGGCAGUGUUGUAGCUUUAUGAUUGACUGCUGAAGCCAUAAUAGGCUAGGAGGGCUGGUGGGCAGAGACCUCAUCCCUGCACUGAAUUGUCUGGGAUUUUCUCUCUUGUACAGGAGACACUUGCAGACGAAUAAACGCAAAUCAACAACAGCAACAAUAAUAAUAAUAAAAACUCUAAAUAAUAACACCACCACAACACAUCCUCGUCACGCUGCAAUGAUUUACAUUUCCUUCCAAACUUGCCAAAAUGCAUGGGUUUAAAUAAUAAAGUAACACACUUCAUUAUUUGUGGUGAAGAAUAUUGACAACUUGACAUAAUUGUUUCUCCAGAAAACUUUUUUUUUUUUUUUUUUAUGUACAAAAUGUACUUUUUUUAUGUACUUUUUUUUUUUUCAUACAACGAGGAUGUAAGAAGCCUCACCCAUCCAGAAAGAUCAUGUCCUUGUUGUAAUGAUUCUGGUGUUGUAUGGUAUAUUACUAGAUACUUUUAGCAUGGAAUUUUCUCGUAGCUAGUCCUGUGUGUGUGUGUGUUCCCCCUGUAGGACCACUAGUUAUGGUAGGAAGGCUGUACAUCAUUGCUAAGUGCUCAGUUCUAGACCUCUUGGUGAUCUCUUUAAGCAAACUGCGAACGUAUAUCCUGCUGAAUCUAACAGUAACUUGACCCUAUUGUUAUUCCUAUUCUUAUUAUUGUCAUUAGCGAUGUCUAUAUUUGUAGUUCACAUAUAUGCCUGUUCGAAAAUACAGUAUCUUUGACCGUUCUAUUUAUGUUGUGUAAAUGUUGUGCUGGGUUUAUACUUUUUCUGGUUCACUUAAUUUGUUUUUAGUUUGUUAAUAUUUUUUCUUUCGUAUUUUUCUUUCGUAUUUCUUUUUUCUUCUUUAUUUCUUAGAGGCACAGUAAGAGGAAGCUGUUCUGUGGGAAGAGUUGUACUGUCCUGUAUGUUAGACCAGCCUGGAUCAACUAUAACAUGUUAGCUUGUGGAGUCGUGCCUCUUUAAUUAAAUUUUCCUUUUAUCAUUUUUUCUUUAUCUCAGUUCAAGGGCAUCGGCCAGGAGUCGGCACUCUCCUGCUCUGCUUGUAACCAUGUUAGUCUGAUUCUGUUCUUGAUUUUAAUAUAAAAAUAAUAAAAACAGUAGAAACCAAUGUCCGACUGG
RNA transcript from Osmerus eperlanus (European smelt), 9197 nucleotides. It is a transcript of the gene named creb3 regulatory factor, with no coding region annotated. The transcript has 11 exons. The record is from RefSeq and is a predicted model, not a curated record. Lineage: Eukaryota; Metazoa; Chordata; Actinopteri; Osmeriformes; Osmeridae.